Molecule: transfer RNA, 76 nt
Filed under: Gammaproteobacteria bacterium
Lineage: Bacteria; Pseudomonadati; Pseudomonadota; Gammaproteobacteria
Description: tRNA-Val
Rfam family: tRNA
About the family: Transfer RNA (tRNA) molecules are approximately 80 nucleotides in length. Their secondary structure includes four short double-helical elements and three loops (D, anti-codon, and T loops). Further hydrogen bonds mediate the characteristic L-shaped molecular structure. tRNAs have two regions of fundamental functional importance: the anti-codon, which is responsible for specific mRNA codon recognition, and the 3' end, to which the tRNAs corresponding amino acid is attached (by aminoacyl-tRNA synthetases). tRNAs cope with the degeneracy of the genetic code in two manners: having more than one tRNA (with a specific anti-codon) for a particular amino acid; and 'wobble' base-pairing, i.e. permitting non-standard base-pairing at the 3rd anti-codon position.
Source: RNAcentral
GCCCUUGUAGCUCAAUGGACAGAGCACUGCUUUUACGAAGCGGAAGAUGAGGAUUCGAAUUCCUCCAAGGGUGCCA